AAUGGUGGGGGGGGAAUGAGCAGUACUCCAGCACAAAGGUGUUUCUGAAAUGGGAUUCAAAUGGUGGGGGGGAAUGAGCAGUACUCCAGCACAAAGGUGUUUCUGUAAUGGGAUUCAAAUGGUGGGGGGGAAUGAGCAGUACUCCAGCACAAAGGUGUUUCUGAAAUGGGAUUCAAAUGGUGGGGGGGAAUGAGCAGUACUCCAGCACAAAGGUGUUUCUGAAAUGGGAUUCAAAUGGUGGGGGGGAAUGAGCAGUACUCCAGCACAAAGGUGUUUCUGAAAUGGGAUUCAAAUGGUGGGGGGGAAUGAGCAGUACUCCAGCACAAAGGUGUUUCUGAAAUGGGAUUCAAAUGGUGGGGGGGAAUGAGCAGUACUCCAGCACAAAGGUGUUUCUGUAAUGGGAUUCAAAUGGUGGGGGGGAAUGAGCAGUACUCCAGCACAAAGGUGUUUCUGAAAUGGGAUUCAAAUGGUGGGGGGGAAUGAGCAGUACUCCUUUGUGUACAGCUUUUUAGUACAAUGACCAGGGCUCCAUCUCAUUAUGUCUUUACGCAAUUCCUCGCAUCCUAUCGCCACACCUCCUUCUCAACCGUAUUGGAGAAGGUCCAAGGGGUUUCUCUCAGACCUUCCUCUCCUACGUGUGUUGAGGAGGUGAGGAGAUAGGAUGCGAGGAAUCCAGGUUAAGAUCUAUUGAGAACGAGCCCUGGGUGCUAGUUAUAACAUUAUUAUGAAUCAAGGAGUACAGGGCUCCUGAGUGGCGCAGUGGUCUUAUGCACUGUAUCUCGGUGCAAGAGAUGUAACUACAGUCCCUGGUUUGAAUCCAGGCUGUAUCACAUUGGGCAGCGCACGAUUGGUCCAGUGUCAUCCAGAUUUGGCAGGUGUAGACCGUCAUUGUAAAUAAGAAUUUGUUCUUAACUGACCAGCCUAGUUAAAUAAAAGGUUACAUUUAAAAAUAAGGAGUAAGA
Molecule: long non-coding RNA, 962 nt
Organism: Oncorhynchus keta (chum salmon)
Lineage: Eukaryota; Metazoa; Chordata; Actinopteri; Salmoniformes; Salmonidae
Exons: 6
Source: RefSeq, a predicted model, not a curated record